RNAcentral lists this ribosomal RNA (676 nucleotides) under uncultured forest soil bacterium. RNAcentral's name for it is "bacterial SSU rRNA". It matches the Rfam family "Bacterial small subunit ribosomal RNA", at positions 64 to 767 of the family's 1533-position model. The record is from RNAcentral.
GAACGCGUGUCGGGUUUCGGCCCGGCAUGAGUGGCGCACGGGUGAGUAGCGCGUGGGAACCUGCCCUGUUGUGGGGGAUAACCGAGGGAAACUUCGGCUAAUACCGCAUGCGCCCGGGGGUGACUCCGGGGAAAGAUUUAUCGCAGCAGGAGGGGCCCGCGUCGGAUUAGGUAGUUGGCGGGGUAACGGCCCACCAAGCCUGCGAUCCGUAGCUGGUCUGAGAGGAUGAUCAGCCACACUGGGACUGAGACACGGCCCAGACUCCUACGGGAGGCAGCAGUGGGGAAUAUUGGACAAUGGGCGCAAGCCUGAUCCAGCAAUGCCGCGUGAGUGAUGAAGGCCUUAGGGUUGUAAAGCUCUUUCGGCGGGGACGAUGAUGACGGUACCCGCAGAAGAAGCCCCGGCUAACUUCGUGCCAGCAGCCGCGGUAAUACGAAGGGGGCGAGCGUUGUUCGGAUUUACUGGGCGUAAAGGGCGCGCAGGCGGCCCUUGUCAGUCGAGUGUGAAAGCCCCGGGCUCAACCUGGGAACGGCGCUCGGGACGGCAGGGCUGGAGAUCGGGAGAGGAGCGUGGAAUUCCCAGUGUAGAGGUGAAAUUCGUAGAUAUUGGGAAGAACACCGGUGGCGAAGGCGGCGCUCUGGACCGAUACUGACGCUGAGGCGCGAAAGCGUGGGGA